RNAcentral lists this ribosomal RNA (394 nucleotides) under uncultured bacterium. RNAcentral's name for it is "bacterial SSU rRNA". It matches the Rfam family "Bacterial small subunit ribosomal RNA", at positions 618 to 1011 of the family's 1533-position model. The record is from RNAcentral.
CAACUGCGUUUGAAACUGCAUAUCUUGAGUACAACAGAGGGGAGCGGAAUUCCUGGUGUAGUGGUGAAAUACGUAGAUAUCAGGAAGAACAUCAGUGGCGAAGGCGGCUCUCUGGGUUGUAACUGACGCUGAGGUACGAAAGCUGGGGUAGCGAACGGGAUUAGAUACCCCGGUAGUCCCAGCUGUAAACGCUGGACACUAGGUGUUGGUGGUUCGAAUCCAUCAGUGCCGGAGUUAACGCAUUAAGUGUCCCGCCUGGGGAUUACGGUCGCAAGACUGAAACUCAAAGGAAUUGACGGGGGCCCGCACAAGCGGUGGAGCAUGUGGUUUAAUUCGAUGCAACGCGAAGAACCUUACCGAGGUUUGACAUCCCGUGACUACUUGUGAGAGCAAG